RNAcentral lists this ribosomal RNA (616 nucleotides) under Pseudomonas sp. PS2(2012). Its description in RNAcentral is "bacterial SSU rRNA". It matches the Rfam family "Bacterial small subunit ribosomal RNA", at positions 33 to 636 of the family's 1533-position model. Lineage: Bacteria; Pseudomonadati; Pseudomonadota; Gammaproteobacteria; Pseudomonadales; Pseudomonadaceae. The record is from RNAcentral.
ACGCUGGCGGCAGGCCUAACACAUGCAAGUCGAGCGGUAGAGAGAAGCUUGCUUCUCUUGAGAGCGGCGGACGGGUGAGUAAUGCCUAGGAAUCUGCCUGGUGAAGGGGGAUAAUGUUCGAAACGGACGCUAAUACCGCAUACGUCCUACGGGAGAAAGCAGGGGACCUUCGGGCCUUGCGCUAUCAGAUGAGCCUAGGUCGGAUUAGCUAGUUGGUGAGGUAAUGGCUCACCAAGGCAACGAUCCGUAACUGGUCUGAGAGGAUGAUCAGUCACACUGGAACUGAGACACGGUCCAGACUCCUACGGGAGGCAGCAGUGGGGAAUAUUGGACAAUGGGCGAAAGCCUGAUCCAACCAUGCCGCGUGUGUGAAGAAGGUCUUCGGAUGUGUAAAGCACUUUAAGUUGGGAAGUUGUAACCUAAUACGUUGCAAUUUUGACGUUACCGACAGAAUAAGCACCGGCUAACUCUGUGCCCAGAAAGCACCGGCUAACUCGCCAGAGGCGGUACAGAGGCAGCGUUAAUCGGAAUUACUGGGCGUAAAGCGCGCGUAGGUGGUUCGUUAAGUUGGAUGUGAAAUCCCCGGGCUCAACCUGGGAACUGCAUUCAAAAAUGU